This 490-nucleotide ribosomal RNA is filed under the name uncultured bacterium. RNAcentral's name for it is "partial 16S ribosomal RNA". It matches the Rfam family "Bacterial small subunit ribosomal RNA", at positions 29 to 507 of the family's 1533-position model. The record is from RNAcentral.
AUGAACGCUGGCUACAGGCUUAACACAUGCAAGUCGAGGGGAAACGACGGGGAAGCUUGCUUCCCCGGGCGUCGACCGGCGCACGGGUGAGUAACGCGUAUCCAACCUGCCUCUGACUGAGGGAUAACCCGUCGAAAGUCGGCCUAAUACCUCAUGGUAUCGUCUGCGGGCAUCCAACGACGAUUAAAGAUUUCAUCGGUCAGGGAUGGGGAUGCGUCUGAUUAGCUUGUUGGCGGGGUAACGGCCCACCAAGGCUACGAUCAGUAGGGGUUCUGAGAGGAAGGUCCCCCACAUUGGAACUGAGACACGGUCCAAACUCCUACGGGAGGCAGCAGUGAGGAAUAUUGGUCAAUGGGCGAGAGCCUGAACCAGCCAAGUAGCGUGCAGGAAGACGGCCCUAUGGGUUGUAAACUGCUUUUAGGCGGGGAUAAAGUGAGGGACGUGUCCCUCAUUGCAGGUACCGCAUGAAUAAGGACCGGCUAAUUCCGUG